Molecule: long non-coding RNA, 3101 nt
Organism: Aethalodelphis obliquidens (Pacific white-sided dolphin)
Lineage: Eukaryota; Metazoa; Chordata; Mammalia; Artiodactyla; Delphinidae
Exons: 3
Source: RefSeq, a predicted model, not a curated record
UGUUUUUUUUUCUCAGGGUUGCUUUGGCAAUUCUGGGUCUUUUGUGGUUCUAUGUAAAUUUUAGGAUUAUUUGUUCUAGUCCUAUAAAAAAGGAUGACCUCUUUCUGGUGAUUUGGAGUCCAACAACCUGCAGUACACCAGCCCUUAAGUCACAUGCCUGCGCAAUAAAUGCAGGUCUAGACCAGAGUCACUGUCAAUCCCCAAAUGCCCUGGAAUACCAUUGUCAUAGACUUGUUCCACUCUUACAACCAUGUUGUUUGGUUGUGGUGUACUCCAAUACCAAGUUAGAAUAUGUUAUCCCUUUUAUCAGCUUACAGCCUGCAAUAGACUGGAUGUUUGUGUCCUCCCCCCACCCCACCCCCCAAAUUCAUAUGUUGAAAUCCUAACCUUCAGUGUGAUGGUAUUAGGAGGUGAUGGUAUUAGUGUUUGGUAGGUGAUUAGGUCAUGAUGGUGGAGCCCUCGUGAAUGGGACUAGUGCCUUUAUAAAAGAGACCCCCAAGGACUCUCUUCCCCUUUAUGCCAUGUGAGGAUAUAGUGAGAAGACAGCUGGCUAUGAACCAGGAAGUGAGCCCUCACAAGAUGCCAAAUCUGCUGGCAUCUUGAUCUUAUACUUUCCAGGCUCCAGAACUGCAAGAAAUAAGUUUCUGUGGUUUAUAAACCACCCAGUCUAUGGAAUUCUGUUAUAGCAGCCUGAACUGACUCAGACACUGCCACUCUGUAAAUUUCCAGCGAAAAACUGUAUGUAUCCCUAGUAUGUAUCCUAGAUUUGGAUUAUACUGUUCAGUUUGUCCUCUACCUAUCAUUUCAAGAUCAGUAACCAGUUGGAAUACAGCACCUGGGUCUCAAGAGAAGAUUUCUGCUGCUAGGACCUUGUGGACAACACUAUCAACUCACCUAACUGGUCUCUGAAGAAUUUGCCUUUGACUAUUCAUUAUACCCUUUCACCUAGCACACAGUUUCAUAGCCGCUUAUCCCCAUUAUUCUUUCCCAUUAAGCCCUCCUACCUUAACAGCUGGGAAGUACCUAAAGAUACCGUAGACUACUCAAGCAGAUCUGGAAGGUGCCUCUGCAAGGUAAUGAGCAAUUUAAAUGUUGACUAGAGACAGACAUCAGAGGAGACCAACCAAUGGGUGAUACCACAGACACUCAGAUAUAUAGGCAAAUCUGCCUUUGACAAAAAGAACCUUGCUAAAAGGAAUUAUUAAGGAUCAUAAAGGCCCUUGUUGCAUUACUACCCUGGCAUUCACUUAUUGUUCUGUUCCUGCUUCUGGUCAUGCCUGAACCAGCAUGGCCCUACCUCCUCCUUCAUUGCUCUUGCCAACAUUUGCCAACCUGAAAUCAGGAACCAUCCAUAUGGGGGUGAAAAGUGACCAGCAACCCUUGAUGCUACCUUAACUCCAAUAAACCAGUACACUGGGAUGGGUAUGGGCCAACCCUGAAAAUACAUCAGCCCCAUAUUUAUAGUGAUGCUUCCUCAGAUUUUAAGCCACAUAUACCAGAUAAAUGUUUUUGUCCUUUUAUUUCUCUAUUUAAAAAAAAGAGUCUCUAUAAAAAUAAUUCCUUUUAAGUUCUUUAAUUAGGUGUAAAUUUUAUAUCCAGCCCAAGUACAUCUCUUUUUCUUUCAUUCACUCAGAAACACGGAAGUGUCACUUGCAUGGAGAGUUGGAGAGAAGCCUGCAUCUCAAGAUUACAACAGAGUGUGAUAAGCAUAAUGAUAGGGACAUGUAGAAAGGGCUGUGGGAGCAACAAAGACCUUGCCAAAGGGACCAGAGGGCAUACAGAGAAAAGGACGUUUGAACUACAUCUUCAGAAGUCAAAAUUUAGCCACAUAUAGACUCAAAAUUCUUUCCAAAGUAGAAUGCUGGCUAAAGCUCUUUCCCAUAAUUACUCUGAUUAGAUGAUCCACCUAAGCAUGUUAUAUGGCUUCUCUGUCAUUACAUGAUUUCACUGUCUUCUCGUGUGUUGCUGCAUUGUGACUUCAUACAUUCCAAGGGCAUUCCACAUGGCAACCAAAGGGCAGGAAGUGAGGACAGAGGGCCUUGCUUAGGGCUGUAGCUGUUAUAUGGCAGCCCUCUUUGCAGUCACAUUAUCCUUGUUUCCUCCUAUAACAUGGGAGAGUCUUUCUUUUUAGGGUUCAGUGGCUCAACAGGUUUGGAAGGAUUUGGUAAAGGGAUGCUUCCUUGAGUUCUACUGCUUGGAGAAGACAGGAAAUUUAGCAAGUCAAAUGGCAAAGGGACUCGGACGCAGCCUUCUCCCCUUCUGCAGCGAUCAUCUAGACAAGGGAUGUGAAGAAAAGCAAAGUGAUUUUUCUUCUUCGCUCCAUGAAGGUUUUAAUCCUACUUAGCGUGACUCAACAAACAAGCACUAGUAUCUACUGUGUGACAGGUCACUGCAUCCAAGGCAACCUGUGGAGGGAAGAGUUUAGAUGUCAGUAAGAACCUCCAGGUGGGAGGAGAGCACCCCUAUGCACCGAUAGCCAUUGCACUGAGAAAGCACAUUUCUCAUUAUGUACUUCCCUGUUUUGUUUUAACGUUAUAGGGCCUUGCAAAAGUUGUUUAAUUUGCACAGUGCCACUCAACAAAUAUUUGUGGAAUUAAAGAUGGUGUGGUAGGCUGACGAAUGGCUCAUAAAGACAUCCAUGCCCUAAUCCCUGGAACCUGUGAGUGUUACCCCAAAAGAGACUUUGCAGAUGCAAUUAAGUUCCAGGCUGUUAAAAUGAGGAGUUUAUCCUGAAUCUUGCUGGUGGGCCCUAAAAGCAAUUGCAAGUGUCCUUAUAAGAGGGAAGUGGAGGGACAUCUGGCUACAGAAGAGGAGAAGGUGGUGUGAUGAUGGAAGCAGAGGUUGGAGUGCUGUGCUUUUAAGAUGGAGGAAGGGACCAUGAUCUAAAGAAUGCAGGUGGUCACCUGAAGCUGAAAAAGGCAAGGAAAUGAAUUCUCCUCUCAAAACCUCCAGAAGGACCCAGUCCUGCUGACUGACACCUUGACUCUGGCCCAGUAAAACUUCUUUUGGACUUCUGGCCUUCAAAACUGUAAGGUUGGGACUUCCCUGGUGGUCCAGUGGUAAAGAAUCUGCCUUCCAGUGCAGGGGACGCGGGUUCAGAG